CGAGUUGCUUAAGAUAUGGUCGGGCCCCUUCAGAAAUGUGGGGG
RNAcentral lists this ribosomal RNA (44 nucleotides) under Acrocalymma vagum. Its description in RNAcentral is "partial 18S small subunit ribosomal RNA". The record is from RNAcentral. Lineage: Eukaryota; Fungi; Ascomycota; Dothideomycetes; Pleosporales; Acrocalymmaceae.